AAUAAUGGUUGUCUGUCAGGAAAUGCGAGUUUCUUGACUCAUGUAUUGCGCGUAAUUAUCGUACUCACGAAUCAUGCAUUCACUAAAUCUGUAGAAAGCGAGUUCUGGAAAUGAGUUAUGAGUAAAUAAAAUCACAAAUCGUGCGUAAAAAGCGUACUCACAGCCGACCGGUUAUCAAACUCGUUUUUGACGUGUUUCUUUACCGAUGGAUCAUAGGCCGCCUCGCCGCCAUUUUUGUUCCGGCCGGAUCCGUGUGUGCAGGGGGAGUCGCGUGCUGCAAGUUAAGGGUCCCAGCAACUCUGUCGAUGCGGAGGUCACGGCCGCCACCGCCGACCCCGGCGAGGGCACCAGCGCGAGCGGGCCGCCGGCGAUGGACAAAUUGAGGAGAGCUGGCUCGUUAUCGACGAUGCAGUCGACCACCUGCUGCACCGCGCUGGCGAGCACGGAGCUGUGUUUCAGCCAUCCCCAGUGGCCAGUACCCAUGGCCGCAAGUUCGAGCUGGCAUGCUCUACGUGGAGAAUGAGACGGUUGUCGAGUUCAAAGAGCUAACCUCGGCGGUCGACUUCAGUGACCAGCUGCCGGGACAGAGACUGACCGGCAGAGUUCUGUUGGUGCCUCAUACUUUUCUCUGUUUGUUUCUGUUUUCUGUUCCGCAAGUUUUUGUCAUUGUAACUAGUUGCAGUUGAAUUAGCUUGUUGCAGUUCGUUUAUAUUUUGCUGCAGGGUGUCCCUAAACCGUAAAGAGACGUGAAACGUUGGACGCUAAUGAAUGAGAUACAAGGCACUUUGAUGUAAAGCACAGGCAGAGCAGAAUCGGAAAUGUAUCAGGUAACCAAACCAUUGAAACUGUGUUUGCGUAUUAAAUGACUAUUGAAACUGCGUCUUUCACAUGCUGGUUGCACGACCUUUCUAUAGAAUGCGAAAUAACAUAAUCGCACAUAAGACUGUGAAAUAGAAAGCUGCUUGGUAUAAUAGGUCCGUCUGCUCCUUAUGAUGGGUUCCUAUAGCUGGUCUGGUCUUGCAACCAGCUAUGAUCAUUGAGCGUUACCGUCCAUAAUAGGUUGUCCAGCUUGCUUGUUCGUAUGUGCAUGGAAUACAGAUUUAACUUUGCUGUU
This is a long non-coding RNA of Amphibalanus amphitrite, 1114 nucleotides long. RefSeq lists it as uncharacterized. The record is from RefSeq and is a predicted model, not a curated record. The transcript has 3 exons. NCBI's taxonomy places the organism in Eukaryota, Metazoa, Arthropoda, Thecostraca, Balanomorpha, Balanidae.